Ictalurus punctatus (channel catfish) is the source of this 485-nucleotide long non-coding RNA. The record is from Ensembl. NCBI's taxonomy places the organism in Eukaryota, Metazoa, Chordata, Actinopteri, Siluriformes, Ictaluridae.
CCCAAUCUUCCACUAAGGCAUUUGCAAGUUCUCAAUCGCUUCUGGGGGACACACGGUUACAUGUUGUUUUCCACUGUAAGGACGAUCAGCUGUCCUUCCUGUCUCCCUGUAGCACUGUCUUAGGCGUCUUACAUUACAGACAUUGCAGUUUAUUGCUCUGGACACAUCUGCAGUCCUCAUGUCUCCCUACAGCAGGUCUAUGGCAUGUUCACGCAGAGCCACACGGGGAGGAGGCACGGCCAACACAUUAAUCACUGACUAGGACUUGUCGACGGGACGUGUCGAGUUUCUGGUGCUCCAUUACAGAGUUAACACUGAGGAUCUACAGAGAUUAGAAACGUGGCACCAUGCAAUCUGUUACGUUUCUCACCGUGACCAUUCUGCUCACGGUCAAUGCAGGUGCAGAUCAGAUGACACUGAGCACUCUACAGUCGAUGAAUGUAGUGUGUGGUGGGACCGUCAAACUGCCAUGCAGUAUCGACAAG